GUCACGUCAUGCAACAAAGCAAAAUUCGGUAGUUAUUAUAUGAUCUGCAAUACGAAAUGUCACUUUAUCAGCUUCUAUUAAAUUAGAAUAUGAAUAUUCUGCGACGAAGCACGUGAAUGCCGGUUAGACUGCUGUUGCCAACACGUGCGCGAAAACAUGUGUCCGUACUACUACUUUGGACGUCUAUACACGUAUGAUAGUCACUGACUGACUCAUCUUGGCAAAGAUAUAGCGUCAUGCAUUGCUAUUUCUUUCGCGCUUUCUCUUUGUCGAUGUAUGAUAUAUUGAAUAGUUUGUGAUAUAUAAGGUUUUAUUAUUAUGAAUCAUUAUUAUUCUAAUAAAUGAUCUUUAUCUCGAAGGCACUAUUCAAUUUUUUUCAUCAGAAUUGAGGAUAGAACCUAAAUUACCCCUAUUAUACGUCAGUAGGUGAGGAAACGUGGUUGGGAGAUGGUUGGAGUGGAAUAAAAAGUGAGAAUAAAAGAGAAAGGGGCUUGGAGGAUUGCAUCGGGCAGAAUGAAACUGCGAGCGACAGAUUGUGAGAACUGCCAAUACGUCAUUCGAAUGUCAAUAAGUCUAGGAAAGACGGUUUUAACCGUUUGAAUUGUUGUAAUUUUUAGAAAUUUCGCUAUUAAAUUUUGAAUAAAAAUUAUUUUAAAUUGAUCAAUUAAUUUAUCAUCUGUAUAAUGUUUUUUGAGAGAUCAUGUUUUCAUAAAAACAUCUAUUAUUUUUGCAAAUUUGUUGGCUCAUAAAGUUGAUAUUACUCAAGUUGCAAAAAAAGGAUUGAAAUUGCCAUGUUAUAUUUCUGCAUUUAAUCCAAUAUAAAAUAUAAAAUUAUACAAUUGGAUAUCCAUGUUUGUCACAUAUAUAUAUCACAUGUCCAUCAUCACAUGUUGUAAAUGCAAAGAUUUUUCAAGUGGAAACGGAUAUUCAGAUUGAAUGAAUCUGAUUACUUUUACUUUUCUUGAAAUAUAUUACGAUUGAACAAUUUAGAAAAUAACAAUUUAGAAAUGAAUAUUCAAUUUAAUAUCGAAAAGAAAACA
Apis florea (little honeybee) is the source of this 1040-nucleotide long non-coding RNA. The record is from RefSeq and is a predicted model, not a curated record. Lineage: Eukaryota; Metazoa; Arthropoda; Insecta; Hymenoptera; Apidae.